AGUGAACGCUGGCGGUAGGCCUAACACAUGCAAGUCGAACGGCAGCACAGUAAGAGCUUGCUCUUACGGGUGGCGAGUGGCGGUCGGGUGAGGAAUACAUCGGAAUCUACUUUUUCGUGGGGGAUAACGUAGGGAAACUUACGCUAAUACCGCAUACGACCUACGGGUGAAAGCAGGGGAUCUUCGGACCUUGCGCGAUUGAAUGAGCCGAUGUCGGAUUAGCUAGUUGGCGGGGUAAAGGCCUACCAAGGCGACGAUCCGUAGCUGGUCUGAGAGGAUGAUCAGCCACACUGGAACUGAGACACGGUCCAGACUCCUACGGGAGGCAGCAGUGGGGAAUAUUGGACAAUGGGCGCAAGCCUGAUCCAGCCAUACCGCGUGGGUGAAGAAGGCCUUCGGGUUGUAAAGCCCUUUUGUUGGGAAAGAAAAGCAGCAGGUUAAUACCCCGCUGUUCUGACGGUACCCAAAGAAUAAGCACCGGCUAACUUCGUG
Molecule: ribosomal RNA, 492 nt
Filed under: uncultured bacterium
Lineage: Bacteria
Description: partial 16S ribosomal RNA
Rfam family: Bacterial small subunit ribosomal RNA
Source: RNAcentral